RNAcentral lists this long non-coding RNA (1514 nucleotides) under Ananas comosus (pineapple). RNAcentral's name for it is "long non-coding RNA (ACOM_LNC014326)". The record is from RNAcentral. Lineage: Eukaryota; Viridiplantae; Streptophyta; Magnoliopsida; Poales; Bromeliaceae.
AUAUAUAUAAAUAUAAAUUUAUAUGAAGUCAUAAUAUUUUUUACCACGUGGCAUGUUAUCUUUCAUCCUCAAUACCCUACCCUUAAUCUUCCCACUCAUCUAAUUAAAUGAAAGUUACAACAUUUAAUUAUAUACACUAUACUAAUAUUCUAUGGGUUUUAUAACUUUAAUCCACUCCCCUUCUCCAUUAACCCCAACCCUCUAUAGGAUAAAAAAAAACCACGUGACAUAUUAUCCUUCAUUCUCAUAGCCUAAUUUUAAAUCAAAUCACCUUCUCCUCUUCUCAACGUCCAACUCUUUAUCUCCCUACUCCUUUAAUUAUACGUAAAGUGUAACAUUUAAUUACAUGCACCAUAUUAAUAUUCUAUCGAUGAGUAGGUUCUAGCUAUAAUUUUAUUUUUUUAACAGUUGAAUUUAAUCAUACAAAUUGACUGUACUUAAUAUGAUAUACCUUCCUAUAUAUCAAUAAAUUAUAAAUAUAAAUUUUAUUAAAAUUUUUAAUAUUUGUUUUUAUUAUCUACCCGCUGCAUUGCGCUAGUUUCUACAUUAAUAUAUAUAUAUAUAUAUGGAGAGAGAGAGAGAGAGUCGGACUACUAUGCAAUCGGUAGUACGGAGCAUUCCAUGCUACCAAGUUGUUUUCGAUGAUGCGGCUUCCAAAUCGACGAUCGGCUCCGUUAGACUUGAUUUACACUAUAGAAAGUAUUUGAAAACUAAAUUUCAGAUUUUUUCGACAUCAUUUGACUAGUGAUCAAAAGAUCUCAAAAUUGAUAAUUUUAAUGGCCGAUGUGGUGUGUUUGUGAGUUUAACGGUGUACAAUAAUCCAAAUACGAUGAAAAUUUUAUAGAAAAUUCUUUUCACUAUUUAGAGUAAGAUCAGUAUAUCUGAUCUUGAAUUUAAAUCUUUUAUUAUCAUUUUUCAUGAGAUUUUUAUUUUUAACCGUUCAAAUUUAGACUACUUGUUUGAUAGGUAAAUGAUAUCGAAAAAUUAUAAAAUUUAGUUUCUAAAUACUGUUAAUAUCAAAAUUAAAUUUAAUUCACGAUUUAUACUUAAAUUUAAAUUUUAAUAUAAAAUAGAUGAAAAUGAAUGCUAUUUUUUAAUAAAUUGAUCAUAAUUUUUCAUUUUUAUGUGAAAUAUUUGUAACGAAUUAAUUAUAACUGUUUGUAUGAUUAGAUUUAUAAAUGGAUAUAAAUGUUAUUUUUAAACAGAUUGAUCAUAAUUGUUCUUUCGUUCUUAUUUGCAAAAAAAUUUAAUAAAAUGCCAACGAAAAUAUUUAUUUAUUUUUUGAUUUCGUCUCUAUACACUUUUAUACAUAAUAUAGAUAAGAAUAUAUUACUUUUUAACAGAUUAAUCAUAACUGAUCAUUUUUAUUUGAGAUUUUUUUAAUAAACUAAUCGUACAUAUAUUUGUAGGAAAUAUAAAAAAUAUUAUUAUUAUUAUUAUUUAGAUUUCAUCUGUUGUUAUCUGAAUUUAUAUACGUUUUUAUAUACAGUAUAUAAAUAUAGAUACAUGAGGGU